GGAUGUGGUUCAGUUGGUAGAAUGCUCACUUAGCCUGCAUGGAGGCCUGGGUUCAAACCCUAGCACCA
RNAcentral lists this transfer RNA (68 nucleotides) under Mus musculus (house mouse). RNAcentral describes it as "tRNA-Leu". Lineage: Eukaryota; Metazoa; Chordata; Mammalia; Rodentia; Muridae. The record is from RNAcentral.